Molecule: ribosomal RNA, 779 nt
Filed under: Escherichia coli
Lineage: Bacteria; Pseudomonadati; Pseudomonadota; Gammaproteobacteria; Enterobacterales; Enterobacteriaceae
Description: partial 23S ribosomal RNA
Rfam family: Bacterial large subunit ribosomal RNA
Source: RNAcentral
AAUGGGUCAGCGACUUAUAUUCUGUAGCAAGGUUAACCGAAUAGGGGAGCCGAAGGGAAACCGAGUCUUAACUGGGCGUUAAGUUGCAGGGUAUAGACCCGAAACCCGGUGAUCUAGCCAUGGGCAGGUUGAAGGUUGGGUAACACUAACUGGAGGACCGAACCGACUAAUGUUGAAAAAUUAGCGGAUGACUUGUGGCUGGGGGUGAAAGGCCAAUCAAACCGGGAGAUAGCUGGUUCUCCCCGAAAGCUAUUUAGGUAGCGCCUCGUGAAUUCAUCUCCGGGGGUAGAGCACUGUUUCGGCAAGGGGGUCAUCCCGACUUACCAACCCGAUGCAAACUGCGAAUACCGGAGAAUGUUAUCACGGGAGACACACGGCGGGUGCUAACGUCCGUCGUGAAGAGGGAAACAACCCAGACCGCCAGCUAAGGUCCCAAAGUCAUGGUUAAGUGGGAAACGAUGUGGGAAGGCCCAGACAGCCAGGAUGUUGGCUUAGAAGCAGCCAUCAUUUAAAGAAAGCGUAAUAGCUCACUGGUCGAGUCGGCCUGCGCGGAAGAUGUAACGGGGCUAAACCAUGCACCGAAGCUGCGGCAGCGACACUAUGUGUUGUUGGGUAGGGGAGCGUUCUGUAAGCCUGUGAAGGUGUACUGUGAGGUAUGCUGGAGGUAUCAGAAGUGCGAAUGCUGACAUAAGUAACGAUAAAGCGGGUGAAAAGCCCGCUCGCCGGAAGACCAAGGGUUCCUGUCCAACGUUAAUCGGGGCAGGGUGAGUCGACCCCUA